Molecule: non-coding RNA, 314 nt
Organism: Pelobates cultripes (western spadefoot toad)
Lineage: Eukaryota; Metazoa; Chordata; Amphibia; Anura; Pelobatidae
Source: the annotation of a GenBank genome assembly
GCACAAUAACCACUACUGCUCCAGAGUAAGUAGUCAAACCGUUUAAGAACAGUUUGACAACUUACCUGGGGUCUGCUGGGAUAUGAGGCUGUAGUAGGGAAUAGGAGCAGUGGUGCAAUGUGUGUGAAAGGUUCAGUGUGUGUGUGGGGGUGUAGUGUGUGAAUGUGUAGGGUGUGUGGGCGGUGUAUGUGUGUGGCAAUGUUAGUAUGGGGGGCUGUGUAUGGGGGUCUGUGUGUAUAUGGGUGGGCAGUGUAUGUGUGUGUGUGUGUGUGUGAGGCAAUGUGUGUAAAUGUGUAUGGUGUGUAUGGGGGCAG